CGAAAGCCUGACGCAGCAACGCCGCGUGAGCGAAGACGGCCUUCGGGUUGUAAAGCUCUGUCAGGAGGGACGAAGCCACUCAGGUGAAUAGCCGAGAGGGUGACGGUACCUCCAGAGGAAGCCCCGGCUAACUACGUGCCAGCAGCCGCGGUAAUACGUAGGGGGCGAGCGUUGUCCGGAAUCAUUGGGCGUAAAGCGCGUGUAGGCGGCCAUCCAAGUCCGAUGUGAAAGCUCGGGGCUCAACCCCGAGUCUGCAUUGGAAACUGGAUGGCUUGAGUCCGGAAGAGGAGACUGGAAUUCCUGGUGUAGCGGUGAAAUGCGCAGAUAUCAGGAAGAACACCGGUGGCGAAGGCGGGUCCCUGGGACGGUACUGACGCUGAGACGCGAAAGCGUGGGGAGCAAACAGGAUUA
This 411-nucleotide ribosomal RNA is filed under the name uncultured bacterium. RNAcentral describes it as "bacterial SSU rRNA". It matches the Rfam family "Bacterial small subunit ribosomal RNA", at positions 376 to 780 of the family's 1533-position model. The record is from RNAcentral.